Molecule: ribosomal RNA, 552 nt
Filed under: uncultured bacterium
Lineage: Bacteria
Description: bacterial SSU rRNA
Rfam family: Bacterial small subunit ribosomal RNA
Source: RNAcentral
GGGAUUUUGCGCAUGGACGAAGUCUGNGCAGCAACGCCGCGUGGGGGAUGAAGCUUCUCGGAGUGUAAACCCCUUUCGACCCGGACGAAUGCCCGCAAGGGUUUGACGGUACGGGUAUAAGAAGCCCCGGCUAACUACGUGCCAGCAGCCGCGGUAAAACGUAGGGGGCCAGCGUUGCUCGGAAUUACUGGGCGUAAAGGGUCCGUAGGCGGUGCGGCAAGUCGGAAGUGAAAUCUCUGGGCUUAACUCAGAGGCUGCNUUCCGAAACUGCCGUGCUAGAGUGCGAGAGAGGCGAGUGGAAUUGCGGGUGUAGCGGUGAAAUGCCGUAGAUAUCCGCAGGAACAUCCGAGGCGAAAGCGGCUCGCUGGAUCGCAACUGACGCUGAGGGACGAAAGCUAGGGGAGCAAACAGGAUUAGAUACCCUGGUAGUCCUAGCCCUAAACCAUCAGGACUUGGGGUUUGCCCUGUACGGGGCAAGUCCCGUAGCUAACGCGUUAAGUCCUGCGCCUGGGGAGUACGGUCGCAAGGCUGAAACUCAAAGAAAUUGACGGA